RNAcentral lists this ribosomal RNA (1303 nucleotides) under metagenome. RNAcentral describes it as "bacterial LSU rRNA". It matches the Rfam family "Bacterial large subunit ribosomal RNA", at positions 1602 to 2925 of the family's 2925-position model. The record is from RNAcentral.
ACACUGUCAAGAAAAGCCGCUAGCGAGAGCGUAGGUGCCCGUACCGCAAACCGACACAGGUAGAUGAGGAGAGAAUCCUAAGGUGAGCGAGAGAACUAUUGUUAAGGAACUCGGCAAAAUGACCCCGUAACUUCGGGAGAAGGGGUGCCAUCGAAAGAUGGCCGCAGUGAAAAGGCCCAGGCGACUGUUUACCAAAAACACAGGUCUCUGCUAAAGCGAAAGCUGAAGUAUAGGGGCUGACGCCUGCCCGGUGCUGGAAGGUUAAGGGGACUGCUUAGAGCGAUCGAAGGCAUGAACUUAAGCCCCAGUAAACGGCGGCCGUAACUAUAACGGUCCUAAGGUAGCGAAAUUCCUUGUCAGGUAAGUUCUGACCCGCACGAAAGGCGUAACGAUCUGGGCACUGUCUCAACAAUAGACUCGGUGAAAUUGUAGUACCGGUAAAGAUGCCGGUUACCCGCAGCAGGGCGGAAAGACCCCAUGGAGCUUUACUGCAGCUUGAUAUUGGAAUUCGGCAUUGCAUGUACAGGAUAGGUGGGAGACUGAGAGAAGAGUACGCCAGUAUUCUUGGAGUCACCGUUGGGAUACCACCCUUGUAAUGUUGAGUUUCUAACGACGUGCCGUGAACCGGCACUCGGACAGUGUCUGGCGGGCAGUUUGACUGGGGCGGUCGCCUCCUAAAGAGUAACGGAGGCGCCCAAAGGUUCCCUCAGUGCGGACGGAAAUCGCACGAAGAGUGUAAAGGCAGAAGGGAGCUUGACUGCGAGACAAACAGGUCGAGCAGGGACGAAAGUCGGGCUUAGUGAUCCGGUGGUACCGAGUGGAAGGGCCAUCGCUCAACGGAUAAAAGCUACCCUGGGGAUAACAGGCUGAUACCCCCCAAGAGUCCACAUCGACGGGGGUGUUUGGCACCUCGAUGUCGGCUCGUCUCAUCCUGGGGCUGAAGUAGGUCCCAAGGGUUGGGCUGUUCGCCCAUUAAAGAGGUACGCGAGCUGGGUUCAGAACGUCGUGAGACAGUUCGGUCCCUAUCCGCUGUGGGCGUUGGAGAAUUGAGUGGAGCUGUUCUUAGUACGAGAGGACCGGGAUGGACGUAGCUCUGGUGCACCAGUUGUACUGCCAAGUGCAUAGCUGGGUAGCCACCUACGGACGGGAUAAGCGCUGAAAGCAUCUAAGUGCGAAGCCCCCCACAAGAAAAGAUCUCCUCCAGAAAUGGUAAGACCCGUGAGAGACUAUCACGUAGAUAGGCCUCAGGUGUAAGUGCAGUAAUGUAUUAAGCUGAGAGGUACUAAUAGGUCGAACACUUGAC